GAUGAACGCUGGCGGCGUGCCUAAUACAUGCAAGUCGAGCGAACGGACGAGAAGCUUGCUUCUCUGAUGUUAGCGGCGGACGGGUGAGUAACACGUGGAUAACCUACCUAUAAGACUGGGAUAACUUCGGGAAACCGGAGCUAAUACCGGAUAAUAUUUUGAACCGCAUGGUUCAAAAGUGAAAGACGGUCUUGCUGUCACUUAUAGAUGGAUCCGCGCUGCAUUAGCUAGUUGGUAAGGUAACGGCUUACCAAGGCAACGAUGCAUAGCCGACCUGAGGGGGUGAUCGGCCACACUGGAACUGAGACACGGUCCAGACUCCUACGGGAGGCAGCAGUAGGGAAUCUUCCGCAAUGGGCGAAAGCCUGACGGAGCAACGCCGCGUGAGUGAUGAAGGUCUUCGGAUCGUAAAACUCUGUUAUUAGGGAAGAACAUAUGUGUAAGUAACUGUGCACAUCUUGACGGUACCUAAUCAGAAAGCCACGGCUAACUACGUGCCAGCAGCCGCGGUAAUACGUAGGUGGCAAGCGUUAUCCGGAAUUAUUGGGCGUAAAGCGCGCGUAGGCGGUUUUUUAAGUCUGAUGUGAAAGCCCACGGCUCAACCGUGGAGGGUCAUUGGAAACUGGAAAACUUGAGUGCAGAAGAGGAAAGUGGAAUUCCAUGUGUAGCGGUGAAAUGCGCAGAGAUAUGGAGGAACACCAGUGGCGAAGGCGACUUUCUGGUCUGUAACUGACGCUGAUGUGCGAAAGCGUGGGGAUCAAACAGGAUUAGAUACCCUGGUAGUCCACGCCGUAAACGAUGAGUGCUAAGUGUUAGGGGGUUUCCGCCCCUUAGUGCUGCAGCUAACGCAUUAAGCACUCCGCCUGGGGAGUACGACCGCAAGGUUGAAACUCAAAGGAAUUGACGGGGACCCGCACAAGCGGUGGAGCAUGUGGUUUAAUUCGAAGCAACGCGAAGAACCUUACCAAAUCUUGACAUCCUUUGACAACUCUAGAGAUAGAGCCUUCCCCUUCGGGGGACAAAGUGACAGGUGGUGCAUGGUUGUCGUCAGCUCGUGUCGUGAGAUGUUGGGUUAAGUCCCGCAACGAGCGCAACCCUUAAGCUUAGUUGCCAUCAUUAAGUUGGGCACUCUAAGUUGACUGCCGGUGACAAACCGGAGGAAGGUGGGGAUGACGUCAAAUCAUCAUGCCCCUUAUGAUUUGGGCUACACACGUGCUACAAUGGACAAUACAAAGGGCAGCGAAACCGCGAGGUCAAGCAAAUCCCAUAAAGUUGUUCUCAGUUCGGAUUGUAGUCUGCAACUCGACUACAUGAAGCUGGAAUCGCUAGUAAUCGUAGAUCAGCAUGCUACGGUGAAUACGUUCCCGGGUCU
Molecule: ribosomal RNA, 1372 nt
Filed under: uncultured bacterium
Lineage: Bacteria
Description: bacterial SSU rRNA
Rfam family: Bacterial small subunit ribosomal RNA
Source: RNAcentral